AGCUUCUUGCUAAAUAGUUCUUUUUUUUUUAUAAUUCAAAAAUACUAAGCAAUUUUUUUACCUUUACUGUUUUACGUAUUUGUUGUGUAGUUAGCAAAAAUUUGAAUUAAUAGAUAAUUUUAUAAUCCAUGUUGUCAACGUUUGUAAAAAAUAGUCUAUAUUCUGAUUUUUAAAAGGGAAAGAAAAAAUCUUUAAUUCAAGUAAUAAAAAAUUUUCACUGCAAAUUCAUUAGGCAAAAGUAGAAGAAUAUUAAACCAGAAUAGUUUAUUUUUCUACCUUACUUAGAUGGUCUAUUAUGUACUUUAAGUGAAAACGUUUUAUCUAUUAUGUGCAAAUAUUUGAAUUAAUCUAUUAUACAGGGUUCUCACGGUCUUUGAAAAAUUUUAGUAGUGGUAUAAAUUUAAGUUAAUGCAAGAAGAUAUUUGAUAUUUUACGAUACCACUUUAUCGUUAAGUGGUUUAGAAGCUGGAAUUUUCAUGCAUUUAUAUUUCUUUGGAAAACAAUUCAUAGUGGGGGUUACACAGAAAUUAAAAUAUUGGAUUUUUUUUAUUUUCGUUACCGCUUUUUAAAAUUUUCGAGGUUCGCGGGAACCUUGAUUUUAGCAAAAAAACUUAUUUUUUAACUUAAUAAGAUUUUCUAAGUUUUAAAAAUUAUUUAGAUUAUUUGCUACUCUACUUACAAUCUUAUGAGAUAAAUUCUAAAUAUUUAAUGAUCUAGGAGAUUUUGUCUUUCCUUAAAAAAAUUAAUAAGUAAAGUUUGAAACUUUGGUCUUAAAAAAAUUUUGUAAUAGCUUUCACUAAUUAUUCACAAAAAAAAUUACUAACUGUUAAUUCCAACUUGAGGAGUAAGAAAUGUUUAAGGAAUUUUUUUACCACUUUUAACCUAAUAGGGAAAUAUUUCUAUCACAAAAGUGUUAGUCACUCUGGAUUAAAAUAAGUUGUAAAGCAAAAUAAAAAACAUUUAACUGUAAUUAAUAUCACAUGAUUGAUGUCUCUUAAGAUUAUACUUUAAACCUCAUUUUCAGUAAUUCACAGUUUAUUGUGUUAUUUAUGUUAAUGUAAAUGAUAAAAAUCUUUUCAAUUAAAUGGUAUUUUAAAAAUAAGUUAGACUUAUUAAAGUCCAACGUAUUAUGUUUCAUUACCUUAGGUGAUAUUUUUCUUCUAUUAAUAAUGGGUUUUGACUAAACCUAUUUAUAUUCAAAGAUAUAUAUAUUCUAAUGCCCAAUUAUUCUGUUUAUUAACUGUGCAAGCAUUCAAUAAAUAGUCACAUUUGUAUAUAAUUUUCAUUUCUUCAUUAUUGAAAGUUUGAUGCCUAAAAAAUAUUGUUUAAUUAAUAAAUAAAAUAUCUUGAGAAUAACCACUAAUAUGCUUAUUUAGAAUCACUCCAUUUUUUUAAUUAAAUUAUAAAUUGCAUGACUUAGCCCUGAUCUUCUGUUCAUGUCAAAUUUCAAGGUUUUUGCUUUUUUAAUAAAUUAAUUAGUUUAUGUUUAAAGCUUAUUUAUAAGUUAAAAAUUCUUAAAUUUGACAUAACGUUCAUGCUUUACUUAGUUUAACACUAAUGUUUUUGACCUCAUUUAACUCUAAUCAUUAGUUUGUUUGUUUUUCAUGGACCUAGAGUUUAUUUGAAUACAAUAUCCCAUAAUGUAAUUUGCAAAUAAUUAAUUGAAUGCUCGAGUUACAAUUCUAUUCAAGUACACACAAAGUUACUUUAUGUAUCUACAUUUUAAUUUUAUUUAUCUGCUUUUUUCUUUAGUUAUAUUUCAUUUAGAUGUUUGUACCAAGUUAAUUUUUUUUAACCUCUUUUUCUUUUCUUUAACCUAGACAUUGAGCCAAAUUGCACAGAAGUUUCCCUACCAAGUAGAGAUUAACUUAUUGAAUAACAUGUUAAAAAACUGGACUUUCAUGCAGAAAAGCAAACAGCUUUAACCUUGAACUGAAUUGAAGAUUUGAUGAAAGGAUUAUCUGUAAUAUGCCAUAACAAUGAAUUUAUUUGUCCAAUUUGUGGAUAUUCAUCUAAUCGGAAGGACAGUGUGAAACGUCAUGUGAAGACGCAUACUGGAGAAAGAGCUCAUGCUUGCAAUUUUUGCAGCAAAAGAUUUGUACACAAGCACCACGUAAAGGAACACAUCACGAGAGUGCAUUCUCUGUAUAUGAAAACAAUAACAAUAUUGGAGUCGACAAAUGUGUCUGACAAACUACCAUGAGUAACCACUUCUCUAAUUUCAACUUGUGUAAAUCCUCUAAUGCUGACUAUAUCAAAAUUAUAAAGUUUACAGAGAUAACAUGAUGUGGAUAUCGAGAAUCAAUCUAUUUUGAUAUUGUCGAUCUUUUGAGUGAAGAAAUGUAUUAUGAUUGAUAUAUAUGAAUCAUAUUUAAACUUUU
Parasteatoda tepidariorum (common house spider) is the source of this 2381-nucleotide non-coding RNA. Lineage: Eukaryota; Metazoa; Arthropoda; Arachnida; Araneae; Theridiidae. The record is from RefSeq and is a predicted model, not a curated record.